This 1428-nucleotide ribosomal RNA is filed under the name uncultured marine bacterium. RNAcentral describes it as "bacterial SSU rRNA". It matches the Rfam family "Bacterial small subunit ribosomal RNA". The record is from RNAcentral.
GAGUUUGAUCAUGGCUCAGAACGAACGCUGGCGGCAGGCCUAACACAUGCAAGUCGAGCGCUACCUUCGGGUGGAGCGGCGGACGGGUUAGUAACGCGUGGGAAUAUACCCAGUUCUAAGGAAUAGCCACUGGAAACGGUGAGUAAUACCUUAUACGCCCUUCGGGGGAAAGAUUUAUCGGAAUUGGAUUAGCCCGCGUUAGAUUAGAUAGUUGGUGGGGUAAUGGCCUACCAAGUCUACGAUCUAUAGCUGGUUUGAGAGGAUGAUCAGCAACACUGGGACUGAGACACUGACCAGACUCCUACGGGAGGCAGCAGUGGGGAAUCUUAUACAAUGGGCGCAAGCCUGAUCUAUCCAUGCCGCGUGAGUGAUGAAAGCCCUACGGUCGUAAAGCUCUUUCAACUGUGAAGAUAAUGACGGUAGCAGUAGAAGAAACCCCGGCUAACUCCGUGCCAGCAGCCGCGGUAAUACGGAGGGGGUUAGCGUUGUUCGGAAUUACUGGGCGUAAAGCGUACGUAGGCGGAUUAAUAAGUUAGAGGUGAAAUCCCAGGGCUCAACCCUGGAACUGCCUUUAAUACUGUUAAUCUUGAGAUCUACAGAUGUGAGUGGAAUUCCAAGUGUAGAGGUGAUAUUCGUAGAUAUUUGGAGGAACACCAAUGGCGAGGGCGGCUCACUGGCUCGAUACUGACGCUGAGGUACGAAAGUGUGGGGAGCAAACUGGAUAGCAUACCCUGGUAGUCCACACCGAAAACGAUGAAUGCCAGACGUCAGCAAGCAUGCUUGUUGGUGUCACACCUAACGGAUUAAGCAUUCCGCCUGGGGAGUACGGUCGCAAGAUUAAAACUCAAAGGAAUUGACGGGGGCCCGCACAAGCGGUGGAGCAUGUGGUUUAAUUCGACGCAACGCGCAGAACCUUACCAACCCUUGACAUACUUGUCGCGGAUUCCAGAGAUGGAUUCCUUCAGUUCGGCUGGACAAUGUACAGGUGUCGCAUGGCUGUCGUCAGCUCGUGUCGUGAGAUGUUCGGUUAAGUCCGGCAACGAGCGCAACCCACGUCAUUAGUUUCCAGCAUUUAGUUGGGUACCCUAAGGAGACUGCCGGUGAUAAGCCGGAGGAAGGUGUGGAAGACGUCAAGUCAUCAUGGCCCUUACGGGUUGGGCUACACACGUGCUACAAUGGCAUCUACAGUGAGUUAAUCUCCAAAAGAUGUCUCAGUUCGGAUUGGGGUGUGCAACUCGACCCCAUGAAGUUGGAAUCGCUAGUAAUCGCGGAACAGCAUGCCGCGGUGAAUACGUUCCCGAGGCGUUGUACACACCGCCCGUCACACCAUGGGAAUUGGGUCUACCCGAAGGUGGUGCGCCAACUAUUUAUAGGGGCAGCCACCCACGGUAGGUUCAGUGACUGGGGUGAAGUCGUAACAAGGUAACC